Molecule: unclassified non-coding RNA, 240 nt
Filed under: soil metagenome
Description: partial contains 5.8S ribosomal RNA, internal transcribed spacer 2, and large subunit ribosomal RNA
Source: RNAcentral
AACAUCGCGCACCUGCGGGAACCUGCGGAAGGAUCAUUACUGAGUGUAAAAACUCCCAAACCCAUUGUGAACAUACCACUGUUGCUUCGGCGGAUACGCCCCGGGCGCGCUCUUCACAGGGCGUGCCCCGGAACCAGGCGCCCGCCGGGGGACCGAAACUCUUGUUUUCUUAGGAUCUCUGAGUGUGAUUAUUAAAUAAAUCAAAACUUUUAACAACGGAUCUCAGAUCGGAAGAGCACA